This 890-nucleotide ribosomal RNA is filed under the name Brevibacillus agri. Its description in RNAcentral is "partial 23S ribosomal RNA". It matches the Rfam family "Bacterial large subunit ribosomal RNA", at positions 1 to 888 of the family's 2925-position model. The record is from RNAcentral. Lineage: Bacteria; Bacillati; Bacillota; Bacilli; Caryophanales; Paenibacillaceae.
GGUUAAGUUACUAAGGGCACACGGUGGAUGCCUUGGCGCUAGGAGCCGAAGAAGGACGCAGCGAACUGCGAUAAGCCUCGGGGAGCGGUAAGCACGCUUUGAUCCGGGGAUCUCCGAAUGGGGCAACCCACCAUCUGUAAUGGGAUGGUAUCCUUCACUGAAUCCAUAGGUGAUGAGAGGGCAGACCCGGUGAACUGAAACAUCUAAGUAGCCGGAGGAAGAGAAAACAAUAGUGAUUCCGUCAGUAGUGGCGAGCGAACGCGGAAGAGCCUAAACCGUCGGGUUUACCCGGCGGGGUUGUGGGGCGUCUCACAUGGAGUUACAAAGGAUGGAUGUAGAUGAACAGUCUGGGAAGGCUGACCAAAGAGCGUGACAGUCGCGUAAUCCAAACAUCCAUCCCUCCGAGACCAACCCCGAGUAGCACGGGACACGUGAAAUCCCGUGUGAAUCUGGCAGGACCAUCUGCUAAGGCUAAAUACUACCUAGCGACCGAUAGUGAACCAGUACCGUGAGGGAAAGGUGAAAAGCACCCCGGGAGGGGAGUGAAACAGUACCUGAAACCGUGUGCUUACAAAUAGUCGGAGCCCGUUAAAAGGGUGACGGCGUGCCUUUUGUAGAAUGAACCGGCGAGUUACGGUAGCGUGCGAGGUUAAGUCGAAGAGACGGAGCCGCAGCGAAAGCGAGUCUGAAUAGGGCGCAAGUACGUUGCCGUAGACCCGAAACCGUGUGAUCUAGCCAUGUCCAGGGUGAAGGUAGGGUAACACCUACUGGAGGCCCGAACCCACGCACGUUGAAAAGUGCGGGGAUGAGGUGUGGCUAGCGGUGAAAUUCCAAUCGAACUCGGAGAUAGCUGGUUCUCCCCGAAAUAGCUUUAGGGCUAGCCUCGGAAU